AGAGUUUGAUCAUGGCUCAGAUUGAACGCUGGCGGCAGGCCUAACACAUGCAAGUCGAACGGUAACAGGAAGCAGCUUGCUGCUUCGCUGACGAGUGGCGGACGGGUGAGUAAUGUCUGGGAAACUGCCUGAUGGAGGGGGAUAACUACUGGAAACGGUGGCUAAUACCGCAUAACGUCGCAAGACCAAAGAGGGGGACCUUCGGGCCUCUUGCCAUCAGAUGUGCCCAGAUGGGAUUAGCUUGUUGGUGAGGUAACGGCUCACCAAGGCGACGAUCCCUAGCUGGUCUGAGAGGAUGACCAGCCACACUGGAACUGAGACACGGUCCAGACUCCUACGGGAGGCAGCAGUGGGGAAUAUUGCACAAUGGGCGCAAGCCUGAUGCAGCCAUGCCGCGUGUAUGAAGAAGGCCUUCGGGUUGUAAAGUACUUUCAGCGGGGAGGAAGGUGUUGUGGUUAAUAACCACAGCAAUUGACGUUACCCGCAGAAGAAGCACCGGCUAACUCCGUGCCAGCAGCCGCGGUAAUACGGAGGGUGCAAGCGUUAAUCGGAAUUACUGGGCGUAAAGCGCACGCAGGCGGUCUGUCAAGUCGGAUGUGAAAUCCCCGGGCUCAACCUGGGAACUGCAUUCGAAACUGGCAGGCUUGAGUCUUGUAGAGGGGGGUAGAAUUCCAGGUGUAGCGGUGAAAUGCGUAGAGAUCUGGAGGAAUACCGGUGGCGAAGGCGGCCCCCUGGACAAAGACUGACGCUCAGGUGCGAAAGCGUGGGGAGCAAACAGGAUUAGAUACCCUGGUAGUCCACGCCGUAAACGAUGUCUACUUGGAGGUUGUGCCCUUGAGGCGUGGCUUCCGGAGCUAACGCGUUAAGUAGACCGCCUGGGGAGUACGGCCGCAAGGUUAAAACUCAAAUGAAUUGACGGGGGCCCGCACAAGCGGUGGAGCAUGUGGUUUAAUUCGAUGCAACGCGAAGAACCUUACCUGGUCUUGACAUCCACAGAAGAAUCCAGAGAUGGAUUUGUGCCUUCGGGAACUGUGAGACAGGUGCUGCAUGGCUGUCGUCAGCUCGUGUUGUGAAAUGUUGGGUUAAGUCCCGCAACGAGCGCAACCCUUAUCCUUUGUUGCCAGCGGUUAGGCCGGGAACUCAAAGGAGACUGCCAGUGAUAAACUGGAGGAAGGUGGGGAUGACGUCAAGUCAUCAUGGCCCUUACGACCAGGGCUACACACGUGCUACAAUGGCGCAUACAAAGAGAAGCGACCUCGCGAGAGCAAGCGGACCUCAUAAAGUGCGUCGUAGUCCGGAUUGGAGUCUGCAACUCGACUCCAUGAAGUCGGAAUCGCUAGUAAAUCGUGGAUCAGAAUGCCACGGUGAAUACGUUCCCGGGCCUUGUACACACCGCCCGUCACACCAUGGGAGUGGGUUGCAAAAGAAGUAGGUAGCUUAACCUUCGGGAGGGCGCUUACCACUUUGUGAUUCAUGACUGGGGUGAAGUCGUAACAAGGUAACCGUAGGGGAACCUGCGGUUGGAUCACCU
Molecule: ribosomal RNA, 1531 nt
Filed under: Salmonella enterica subsp. enterica
Lineage: Bacteria; Pseudomonadati; Pseudomonadota; Gammaproteobacteria; Enterobacterales; Enterobacteriaceae
Description: bacterial SSU rRNA
Rfam family: Bacterial small subunit ribosomal RNA
Source: RNAcentral